AUUGAACGCUGGCGGUAUGCCUUACACAUGCAAGUCGAACGGUAGAGGGGCAACCCUUGAGAGUGGCGAACGGGUGAGUAAUACAUCGGAACGUGCCCAGUCGUGGGGGAUAACGUAGCGAAAGCUACGCUAAUACCGCAUACGACCUGAGGGUGAAAGCGGGGGAUCGCAAGACCUCGCGCGAUUGGAGCGGCCGAUGGCAGAUUAGGUAGUUGGUGGGGUAAAGGCCUACCAAGCCUGCGAUCUGUAGCUGGUCUGAGAGGACGACCAGCCACACUGGGACUGAGACACGGCCCAGACUCCUACGGGAGGCAGCAGUGGGGAAUUUUGGACAAUGGGCGAAAGCCUGAUCCAGCCAUGCCGCGUGAGUGAAGAAGGCCUUCGGGUUGUUAAAGACUCUUUCGGCUGGGAAGGAAAUACGCACAGGCUAAUACUCUGUGUGGAUGACGGUACCAGCACAAGAAGCACCGGCUAACUACGUGCCAGCAGCC
This 491-nucleotide ribosomal RNA is filed under the name uncultured bacterium. RNAcentral's name for it is "bacterial SSU rRNA". It matches the Rfam family "Bacterial small subunit ribosomal RNA", at positions 29 to 516 of the family's 1533-position model. The record is from RNAcentral.